UCAAUGCUUCAGUAUUACACCUGCGCGCGUGCGCGUGUGUGUGUUUAAAGUGAGUAUUCCAUUAAUUAACUAACUCUGCUCCUGGGACAUGUUUAUAAAGUUUUCUUUGAGGGUUAUUAGGAGUUCUCUUUGGCCUGUUUUCUAACUUUAAAUUGUUGUUUUUCUAUCACAGUUUUCAACACAAAAUGCCUUUUUAUUACUGGCUCGAAAUAGUUCUGAGGAGAUUCAUAACUGGUUGAAAGAGUCUGUUAACAACUCCAGCCUUUUCCUUGUGGCUCAGGGAUGUGAGGGAGUCAGGCAGUGUCCCUGUAGGUGUUCUGUGCAGGCAAAGUUACUUUGUGCACUCCUGUCACCAUGUGGAGCACAUUUAUAUAAUCAUAAUGGAGAUUUCAGAACAUUAAGAAUAACUUACUGUAGGAAAAGCUAAUUGUUGCUGGGGAUGUUUUUUUCUUGCUUUGGGGUACAGGGGACAUAAUCAUAGGGCUGUGUGUGCCAGGCUGUGUGUGUGCCAGGCACUCCCUCAGGGCUGUGUGUGUGCUCGUUCUGUCCACCAGGUUUGCCUCUUGUCAUCAAAUGGAUAAAGUCAAAACUUUGUUUCACUGAGAAAUCUCUCAUCAUUUACUUGCGAUAAAAUUUGAGCAUCCCUUUUGAAGAGUACCAAAAAUAUGUCUCAUAGAUGUAUGUGGCUUAUUUCUGUCCUUCUUCCCUCCCUCUACUCCUUUCUCUCUUUCUGUGCAGCCCCAGCCAGAGGUUUUAUGUUUGAUAACUCCUGUAUCCUGCGUCAAGCCUCUGAUUGGUUAUUCUUGAUUCACUUCCUCUCUCAUCAAGACAGAUAAGCACUAUUUUCCUUGUAGUUUCUUCAGUAGUUCACACAUAGUGGUUGGUACCUGGGAUAUGUGAAUAAGACAAAAAUUCAGUAUGUUAAUAUAAGCCCAAGCAAGGAAAGAAAUUUCCUCCCCCCAAAAGUACCAUAGAAGUAUCAAAAAGACCUAUUUUGUUUGUGUAGGUUUUUUGGAAUGUAAUUGAGUAUGAUUUGAUUUUUUGUGGGGAGGGGGUCAGAAGUGAGGCCAUAAGGAAGCCUCAUUUAGCAAAGUGCAAAGUAAUCCUGUCUGAGUGGCCUGUUAUAGUGGCUACAGUUGUUUUCAUCAGGAGUUGUACUUGGACACUGGUUCUCAUCCACCUUUUCAUGCUUUAGACUAAUCUAGGGUGUAUGAAAAGAAAAUGAGACUCUGUCUUGUAGCUAGGGAUUGCUGAAGUGCUUUUCUGCUGUGGCCCUGGGAUCACCAUUUAUAAACAUCAAUAGGUGGUGGGUGGGUGGGGGUGGGGAUGAAUGGUCAAGAAUGAACUGAUCCACAGAAUGGGAGUACCUAGACAGGAAGUGCACUUCUGCUGCCAGAUCUGCUCCCCCAGACUUUACUGUGUUUAGAACCAUCAGGGUAUCCUGAUUCAGACGCUUGUCCAAGCUUUUUAAAGCUGUCAUAGUGCCUUCUCUUAAUGUCUGCCUUCACACACUAACAGGUAAUUGGGAUUUUUAAAAAUGUUGAUAGUGUCCUGUCCCACACCCUGAAAAAGCCCAACUGGGUACUGUGACUUGAAUCCCUACAUCUUUUGUUGUUUUGUUUGAGAAAGAGUCUCAGUGUGUGAACCUGUCUGUUCUAGAACUCACUAUAUAGACCAGGCUGGCCUUAAGCUCACAGAGAUCAACUUGUCUCUGCAAAUCCUGAAAUCUUUUACACACACAAAACCCUAACAUGUUAAUACCUAAUGAACAAAAAGGAUGGGAUCGUAACUAUGAAGUCGUCACCUAUGUACCCCACAGCAGGGACCAGAAAGCCUUAUGGGAAAGAAUUUCAUGAGCUAGAGCUGAAGUGCAGUGUUCUGACAAAGGGGCAGUCACAUUGAUGCCUAAACCUUAUAGUUCAAAAGUGAUGAAAAUUGUUAUGAAUGUAAGCCUUACAAGAGUUAAAUGUUGAAUAUACACAGUUGUUCUCAAUUUUAUCUUAAAAAUGACUUGUUAUACUUUCUGAUAGGUCGUUUGCCUUUGAAUGGCUUUAAAACUAUAAUUUUUUAAAAGCACAAUGGGAAUCGAUGAUGUUUCACUUUUGGGUUGUACAUUUAAUGGAUUAAAGAUCACACCACCACACCACUUGUGUUUGUUGUUACUGUUCUUGUGGAAGGACCUAUAGAACAGAGUGCGGCUUGGUCAGGGAAGUUAGUGACCUGGUCAGAGAUGGGACAAUGGCAAGGCAGCUCACUUUUCCCUCCACAGUGACAUUGAACCUGGUUAGCAGUGAGCUAGUAAGGCUGUUGUGUCUUCCAACUGUAGUCUCACACAGUGGGGAGGAUAGGGAGAGUGUGCUGAAAUAUUUCCUCUCCACAGGUGACCGGGGAGGCAAUGGGGAAGUGGCACUGAGUUUCUCCAAUCCUGAGAAAGCUUUGUGGUGGUUGUUUUGUUUUUUAAAAGUCUCACUAUGCAGCCUUGCCACUCACUAUUGGCUGGCCUCAGGAUAGAGUUCAGGCUGGCUUUAAACUCACAGCAAUCACCAGCCUCUGCCUAGAGCAGCACUGGGAUUGGAGGAGUUUGCCACUACACCAUGUGCCCCCCCCCCCCCUGCUUUUCUCUUCUCUUUCCUUGUCAGAACAUGGUUAUGGUACAUGGUGAACAAUGCCUUGGGGAACUGUGAAAGAGUCUCCAGUAAAAAAUGCAGAGAGCCAUUUACUACAAGUGCAUUUGUUCCCUUGAUUGUUUACAAACAUGAUUUUGUGCCUCUGACAAAAAUUGCAAUCGACUUAUAAGACAUGUUACUUUUUGGAUGUAGGAAGAUAGCUGUAGAACCCAGUUUGGUGAAAGGACAUGAUGAGUGCUGUCCUCAGUGUGCUCUGAAUCUGGAUAUGGCUGCUUUCUGCUUUUCCAGAUAUAAUAAUCAACAGAGCUCGCUAGGCAAUUGUGUUACAAUUGUUCUGUCUUGAGAGACGGUUUUUAAGUUGGUCUGUUCUGGGAAAGGGAUGCUCUGUUGAUAUUUAUUAUGUGUUUAUUGGCAUUUAUUUACAUUUUUUUGGACUCGACUUUCUUUGGCUCAUUGCUUUCUUUGUUGCAUUUGUAUAUAUAAUGCACUGAAACUGAAGUAAAAUUUUCGACAUUAAA
RNAcentral lists this long non-coding RNA (3145 nucleotides) under Rattus norvegicus (Norway rat). Its description in RNAcentral is "long non-coding RNA NONRATT001493". Lineage: Eukaryota; Metazoa; Chordata; Mammalia; Rodentia; Muridae. The record is from RNAcentral.